This 73-nucleotide transfer RNA is filed under the name Candidatus Aenigmatarchaeota archaeon. RNAcentral describes it as "tRNA-Trp". It matches the Rfam family "tRNA". Rfam says of the family: Transfer RNA (tRNA) molecules are approximately 80 nucleotides in length. Their secondary structure includes four short double-helical elements and three loops (D, anti-codon, and T loops). Lineage: Archaea; Nanobdellati; Candidatus Aenigmatarchaeota. The record is from RNAcentral.
GGGAUUGUAGUAUAACCUGGUAGCACAGCAGUCUCCAAAACUGCCUAUGGGAGUUCGAAUCUCUCCAAUCCCA